RNAcentral lists this ribosomal RNA (802 nucleotides) under uncultured crenarchaeote. RNAcentral describes it as "bacterial SSU rRNA". It matches the Rfam family "Archaeal small subunit ribosomal RNA", at positions 119 to 922 of the family's 1478-position model. The record is from RNAcentral. Lineage: Archaea; Thermoproteati; Thermoproteota.
GACGGGGAUAACCUCGGGAAACUGAGAAUAAUACCCGAUAGAACAUUAUGCCUGGAAUGGUUUAUGUUUCAAAUAAUUUAUUGCCGUAGGAUGGGACUGCGGCCUAUCAGUUUGUUGGUGAGGUAAUGGCCCACCAAGACUAUUACAGGUACGGGCUCUGAGAGGAGUAGCCCGGAGAUGGGUACUGAGACACGGACCCAGGCCCUAUGGGGCGCAGCAGGCGAGAAAACUUUGCAAUGUGCGAAAGCACGACAAGGUUAAUCCGAGUGGUUUCUGCUAAAGGAACCUUUUGUCAGUCCUAGAAACACUGAUGAAUAAGGGGUGGGCAAGUUCUGGUGUCAGCCGCCGCGGUAAAACCAGCACCUCAAGUGGUCAGGAUGAUUAUUGGGCCUAAAGCAUCCGUAGCCUGCUUUGUUAGUUUUCGGUUAAAUCCAUACGCUCAACGUAUGGGCUGCCGGGAAUACUGCAAAGCUAGGGAGUGGGAGAGGUAGACGGUACUCGGUAGGAAGGGGUAAAAUCCUUUGAUCUAUUGAUGACCACCUGUGGCGAAGGCGGUCUACCAGAACACGUCCGACGGUGAGGGAUGAAAGCUGGGGGAGCAAACCGGAUUAGAUACCCGGGUAGUCCCAGCUGUAAACUAUGCAAACUCAGUGAUGCAUUGGCUUGAUGCCAAUGCAGUGCUGCAGGGAAGCCGUUAAGUUUGCCGCCUGGGAAGUACGUACGCAAGUACGAAACUUAAAGGAAUUGGCGGGGGAGCACCACAAGGGGUGAAGCCUGCGGUUCAAUUGGAGUCAACGCCGGA